AUACGGAAGGGGCUAGCGUUGUUCGGAAUUACUGGGCGUAAAGCGCGCGUAGGCGGCUUAUCAAGUUAGGCGUGAAAGGCCUGGGCUCAACCCGGGAACUGCGCUUAAUACUGGUAGACUUGAGUCCGGGAGAGGGUGGCGGAAUUCCCAGUGUAGAGGUGAAAUUCGUAGAUAUUGGGAAGAACACCAGUGGCGAAGGCGGCCACCUGGCCCGGUACUGACGCUGAGGUGCGAAAGCGUGGGGAGCAAACAGGAUUAGAAACCCCUGUAGUCC
This 274-nucleotide ribosomal RNA is filed under the name uncultured bacterium. RNAcentral describes it as "partial 16S ribosomal RNA". It matches the Rfam family "Bacterial small subunit ribosomal RNA", at positions 523 to 796 of the family's 1533-position model. The record is from RNAcentral.